AUACCUUUCUCGGCCUAUUGGCUAAGAUCAAGUGUAGUAUCUAUUCUUAUCAGUUUAAUAUCUGAUAUGUGGGCCAUCGGUUCACACGAUAUUAAAUUUAUUUUUUGAGGGUGAAGAUUUGUCAAAGUAGCUUGCUACCUGGGUGUCUAAGCGUCGCCCCUGCGUUGCACUAUUGCACGGGCCUAACGCACCCACC
This is a small nuclear RNA of Salvia splendens (bonfire salvia), 196 nucleotides long. RefSeq annotates it as U2 spliceosomal RNA. The record is from RefSeq and is a predicted model, not a curated record. NCBI's taxonomy places the organism in Eukaryota, Viridiplantae, Streptophyta, Magnoliopsida, Lamiales, Lamiaceae. The transcript has a single exon.